UAAUACAUGCAAGUCGAGCGAUCGACGGGAGCUUGCUCCCUGAGAUUAGCGGCGGACGGGUGAGUAACACGUGGGCAACCUGCCUAUAAGACUGGGAUAACUUCGGGAAACCGGAGCUAAUACCGGAUACGUUCUUUUCUCGCAUGAGAGAAGAUGGAAAGACGGUUUACGCUGUCACUUAUAGAUGGGCCCGCGGCGCAUUAGCUAGUUGGUGAGGUAAUGGCUCACCAAGGCGACGAUGCGUAGCCGACCUGAGAGGGUGAUCGGCCACACUGGGACUGAGACACGGCCCAGACUCCUACGGGAGGCAGCAGUAGGGAAUCUUCCGCAAUGGACGAAAGUCUGACGGAGCAACGCCGCGUGAACGAAGAAGGCCUUCGGGUCGUAAAGUUCUGUUGUUAGGGAAGAACAAGUACCAGAGUAACUGCUGGUACCUUGACGGUACCUAACCAGAAAGCCACGGCUAACUACGUGCCAG
This 478-nucleotide ribosomal RNA is filed under the name Peribacillus frigoritolerans. Its description in RNAcentral is "bacterial SSU rRNA". It matches the Rfam family "Bacterial small subunit ribosomal RNA", at positions 49 to 511 of the family's 1533-position model. The record is from RNAcentral. Lineage: Bacteria; Bacillati; Bacillota; Bacilli; Caryophanales; Bacillaceae.